AUACCCCCACUUACCUAAAAUGAGAUGGACCUAAUCUCUUAAAAAUAACCCAAUGAGCCCCCUCGUAAAAAAAAAACUCCUGGAGUCGCCUCAACAAACCAGCCCCACCCUAUCUCCACCUAUGUCGGCGACCACACACAAAAAGAGUCGCACACCCACCUCUCUUACACCUAAAGCCAGCAGCAGCCAUCCCUCACCAUCGAAACUCUAAUAGACCUGGAAACCAUUACCUUAAAUCUCCUAAGAAGUGAACAACAGCCGUACCACACCUCUAUUUGAAAAAUCUGCCGCCUAAAACCAGCCGGAUACCACCCUUCACUAACUUCUAAAACCUAACACCCCCUCAUCUCCUCCACCCUAAAGCAGUACUCCCAAACCCAGCGACCUUACUUCAGCCGCAACACAUACACAUGCACACGCACAAAUAGGAGACAGGGAAGAAGAAAAUUGGAUAGAGAAACUAAGGUUUGUUCGUUUGUUUUCCGCCGAGGUUUUCGGGCUGAUUUGUGGCUCCGGUUUGUGAUUUUGGUGGUUCGAUCUUAUUGUAUAAUCAAGUUUGGGCUUCUUUAAAUCUUCAAUUUCAAAAGAAAAUUGCUCCAUUGGAGGUCUAUUUCUUCCCAUAAUCUUCAUUUUCUUGUUUGAGCUCACUGCGCCGGUAAGAGUCUUCCCAUCCCAAGGGUAAAAAAAAAUACCCCCAACACCCCUGGACCCCCUCCAAGACCCAGAUCCAGAUCCAGCCCCAGCCGACAACUUCCCGAUGCCGGGGACCAACUCCUUCAAAUAGGUAUCUAGUAGCCUUCUUAUUUUUUGUCUGUUCUUUCUGUAUUAAUGCCGAGAUUUUGUAUAUGUCGGUUUAAAAUAGUACAAAUUUGUAACGAUACGCUGUUUGUGCAAAUUUUAGUUUUGCCGCACUAGUGUGUUCUUUUUGGACUUUUUUCUCUUCUGCUCUAUGUUCAUUACUCCAUUACUCUAUUUUUCUCUGAUUUUUCAAUUGGGAUAUUCUCUUUUACAUUUCUGUUGCUUCUUGAAACUUUGAUUGUCAUAUUUUAUAUCUUCUUUAUGUUUUAACAAUCAUACAAAAUCUUCAAACAUAGUUUAACUAAGAUAUAGACAUUUGAUUAUUGUUACUAUCUGUUUUAUUAUUUGGUUUUGGUUUUGGAUGUUAUUGCUGCUAUCUUAAUAUUUUGCUAUCUCCACUUCUUGGAAUUACCUCUUAUAAAUUGGCAUUAGACGUUAUAUUGUCUUCUUAUUUUGUCUUCUCUUACUUACUUUAUCACUCUAUAUUUUCCUCGUGAUUCGUUACUCUGUUACCUUCCUUUUUCUUGUACAGACCCACUCUAUCGUUUCCUCCUUAUUAUUUUCUUCAAUUUAUUCAUUAUUGAUUGUUUAAAAUUGAUUUAACGUUGUACAUCCUUUUCUUUUGUGCUCCUUUUCUACGGGUAGGGCCUCACCAGUGGUAGCAGUGACAACCCCUCCCUCAUUUGUUUGGAUUGAUGGUGUUUUGUGUGUAUUUCAGGUCAAGGUCGGUGGCUAUUAGCGGCGAACAAGACGUGCGUGUGCAAAAUUUAAAGAACAGCAUGAGCGAGUGUCAACAAGGGACAGUGAGAGUUGGAAGUGAACAUGCUAGGUUGUCCCAACACCGUCAUAUAUACCAAUACAAUUCCCAGGUUCUAAUCGCGGGAGUUGGUACCUCCCAUUUUCCUGUUUCCCUUUGUUGUAUUAGUAAAUUGCUACCAUCAUAGUUCGUAUUAAUCUAUUCACCGUAUUACUGUGGCUGUAGUUGCAACUUGUCUUCUUGUAGUUUGGUCUGUUACCUUGUGUGGGUUAGUGAUUCCCAAUAGUCUGACGUAGGUAUACUGGCUGUGGUCUGGGAUGGUCGAGUGAGAUCAUGACCUCGGGGAGAGCAUGGGGUGUGGCGGGAGGUAGGGCAGGGGUUAUGGGGAGGGUCAUGAGGCAAGGGAGGUAAAGGGGACAAGGGUACCCAUAGGUUGAGAAUUGGGUUAUGGAACAUAGGUACAUUGAUGAGUUAGUCUAUAGAGUUGGCAAAGAUCCUCAAAAAGAUGAGGGUCAAUAUAGCAUGUGUCUAAGAGACAAGGUGGGUAGGUCAAGGGCUAAGGUCGUGGAUGGGUAUAUGCUUUGGUACUCAGGAGUCGAGAAAGGUAAGAAUGGUGUAGGUAUCUUGCUGGAUAGGGGGCUUACAGAGUCUGUGGUUGAGGUUAGACAAGUGAAUCAUAUAUUGAUGAAUAUUAAGAUGGUAGUUAGUGAGUGCACUCUAAACGUCGUUAGUGCUUAAGCGCCGCAUUCGGUCCUGGAUGAGGAGGUUAAACGAUGCUUCUGGGAGGGAUUAGAUGAGAUUGUGCGCCAGGUCCGCAUGCUGAGAAGCUAUUAAUAAGAGGGAAUUUCAAUGGUCAUAUUGUCUUGAACGCAGGUAGUUAUGGCGAGGUGCAUGGAGGCUUCGCUUUCAUGGAGAGGAACGGGGGAGGUACGUCGUUGUUUGACUUCGCUAAGGCUUUUGGGUUAGUGAUUGUGAACUCUACCUUUCUUAAAAGAAAGGAGCAUUGGUCACUUUUCAAAAUAUGGCGUCGAAAACUCAGAUUGACUAUCUUCUUCCGGAAGGUGUGAAAGAGGGAUAUGCAAGGAUUGCAAGAUGAUUUCGGGUGAGAUACUCGUGAUGCAACAUAGGGUCUUGGUGAUGGACAUUGGUAUUGUGUUAAAGAGGAGGAGAAGGUCUGCUCGAGGAAGACCGAGAAUAAGAUGGGGAGUCUUAACUAAGGAUAAAGCCCAAUAGUUGGAAGGGCAAUUAUUAGCUACGGGGCCUGGAUGAGCAGUGGUAACGAGCAGUAUGUGGUCAGUGACAACAAAUUGUAGAAGGGAGGCUGCGAGAGAGGUGUUAGGGGUCUCGACAGGCAUCUAUGGUGGGCACAAAGGAGAUUUGUAGCGGAGUGAAGUGGUCCAAGGUAAAGUGGAGGCGAAAAAGGCGGCAUACCUGAAGUUAGUGGGGAACAUGGUUGAGAAGGAUAGACGAGCAUGCAUAGAGGUAUAAGGUACCUAGGAAGGAAGCUAUGAUGGUGGUCACGGAGGCUAAGACUGUGUUAUGGUCAUAUGUACUAGGAACUUGGGAAAAAAGGUAGGGAGAAGAAGUUAUUCAGGCUGUCCAAGUUGAGAGAGAGAGGCCCAGUAUUUAGACCAAGUGAGAUGCAUCAAGGAUGAUAACAGUAGAGUAUUGAUAGAAGAUGCACGGUUUAAGAGGAGAUGGUAGACUUACUUUCAUAAACUUCUGACUAAGGAAGGGGAUCGAGAUAUUGUGCUAGGCGAAUUGGAGUAUUUCGAGAGUCACCAUAAAUCUGGGUACUGUAGGCGUAAUAAGGUUCAGGAGGUCGUGGGAGCAAUGUGUAAGAUGAAUAAGGGCAGUGCGACCAGGCAUGACGAGAUUCCAAUGGAAUUUUGGAAGUGCAUGGGGAGAGAAGGUUCGGAGUGGUUGACUAGGUUGUUUAAUGUUAUUUUAAAGGCGAAGAGGAUGCCGAAUGAAUGAAGGUAGAGUCCAGUGGUCCCAUUGUAUAAGAACAAAGGUGAUAUCCAGAGUUGUAACAAUUAUAGGGGCAUCAAAUUACUUAGACAUACCAUGAAAGUUUGGGAGAGGGUGGUUGAAGUUAGGGUGAGGAUGAUAGUGUCUAUAUCCGACAACCAAUUUGGGUUCAUGCCGGGUAGUUCUACUACAUAAGCUAUUCAUUUUUUUUAGAGGUUGGUGGAACUGUACAGAGAGAGGAAGAAGGAUCUGCACGUGGUCUUUAUUAACCUAGAGAAUGGCAAAGUUCAUAGAGAAGUUCUCUAGAGAUGCUUGGAGGCAAAAGGGGUGUCGGUUCCCUACACCCCUUUAUUGAUUAAGGAUAUGUAUGAUGGCGCUAAGACUCGGGUUAUGAUAGUUGGAGGCGACUCUGGCCAUUUUCCUGUUGUAAUGGGUUUACACUAAGGUUAUGUACUUAGUCCAUUCUUAUUCGCCCCUGGUGAUGGACGUGUUGACGCACCAUAUUAAAGGGGAGGGGCCGUGGUGUAUGGUAUUUAUCGAUGACAUAGUUCUGAUUGAUGAGUCGCAAGCCAGUGUUGAUGAGAGGCUGGAAGUUUGGAGACAAGCUCUUGAGUGUAAAGGAUUUAAGUUGAGCAGGACGAAGACGAAAUACCUUGAGUGUAAGUUCAACAUUGAGCCGAAGGAAGUGGGUGUGGAUGUGAGUCUUGAAUCAUAUACCAUCCUAAGUAGCGACAACUUCAAGUACCUUUGGUCGGUUAUCCAGAGUGACGGGAGAUUGACGAGGAUGUCACACACCGUAUUGGGGUAGGAUGGAUGAAGUGGAGGUUAGCAUCUGGAGUCCUAUAUGAAAAGAAAGUGCCACCGUUACUCAAAGCUAAAUUCUAUAAAGCGGUGAUUAUAUCGGCCAUGAUGUAUGUGGCUGAGUGUUGGCCUGUUAAGAACUCACAUAUCCAGAAGAUGAAAGCAGCAGAAAUGAGGAUGUUGAGAUGGAUGUGUGGGCACACCUGGAUGGAUAAUAUUAGGAAUGAUGAUAUUCGGGAGAAGGUGUACGUGGCUCACAUUGAUGACAAGGUGAUAAGAGUGCCACCGAUACUCAAAGGUAAGUUUUAUAAAGCGGUUAUUAGACCGGCCAUGAUGUUUGGGGCUGAGUGUUGGCCUAUUAAGAACACACAUAUCCAAAAGAUGAGAGUAGAAGAAAUGACAAUGUUGAGGUGGAUAUGCAGGCACACUAGGCUGGAUAAUAUUAGGAAUGAUUAUAUUCGGGAGAAGGUGUACGUGGCCCCCAUUGAUGACAAGAUGCGAGAAGCGAGACUUAGAUGUUUCAGACAUGUUUAAAGGAGAAGCGCACAUGUACCGUAAGGAGGUGUGAGCGGCUGGUUGUGGAGGGCAGAAGAGGUAGAGGGAGAUCGAAGAAUUAUUAGGGAGAGGUGAUUAGGCAGGAUAUGGUGAGACUUCAGAUUUCCGAGGACAUGACACUUGAUAGGAAUAUGUGGAGGUCGAGUAUUAGGGUUAUAAAUUAGGAGGUAGUCGAGUUUUGCCUUACUUAAUACCUCUAUUAGACUAUUCUGGUAGGAAUUUUGUCUAAUAUAGUUAUUGGAAAUAUUGUGUCUUACCAUUACAUUUUUCAGUGCAUGACAUAUUUACUACCUAUAACUUUUACUUUGCAUAUUUCUUCUGAAUUUAAUGUGGUUCAUAUUUUUCCUCUGAUUUAUUUGGUGAUGCUAAUAUUAUCUCCCUUUUGUCUUUCUGUUUUCUUGAGCCGAUGUUCUUUCAGAAACAACAUCGCUACUCCUUCGGGGUAGGGGUAAGGUCUGCGUACACACUACCCUCUCCAGACCCCACUAGUGAAAUUUUAUUAGGUUGUUAUUGUGUAUGUGAUUCAUAAUGUGAUGUUAGUCCAUUUGGGUUUAUUUUAAUUUAUCUUUCUCCACUUUCCGAGGUUUGUUUGGUAAUUAGCUAGCUUUGGUUCAUUAGUGCUUAGAUUUUGUGGUUCGGAAUGACAUUAAGGUGAUCUAGUGACGAUGAAUUGCUUAUCUUAAUUAAAUCUUAAGGUUUUCUUCAAAGAUUAAAUUGAUUGUCUGAUCGGGUCGUGGGAGGUGACACUAUACAUGUAAAGAAAUUAGACUUUUAAAUAUUUUCUUGCUUUUAAUUUAUUUUAUUUAUUUUAUCUCUUUUUUCGUUAGGAGCAUGCUUAGGCCAACCAUUCUCGAGUAGGCAAACCAUAGGUCGCUUCUUUUUAAUUUUGUCGAGGUAAAAGGUUGUUCCCUUUAGUCUAUAUACAGGGGAAUGCCCCGUAGAGUAUGUAUAUAUUAUUUUUAUCUGGGGUAUGCCCCAACGUAAAUUUAUCUCAAUUCGAAUAUUUUAAAAGUCAACUAGAUUAGGUAUGCAAUCGUGACUUUGACGAGACUCAGAGAAUGCCUAACACCUUUUUCCUGAGUCAAAUGAAUCCCCUUACCUGAAUCUUUGGUGUCGACUUAGUUUUGAAGUACAAAGUGUUUUAAAAGGAAAACAUCACUUAUAUAAACGGUGACCUGACAUAUUGAAACCAAACGUCUGGUGGCGACUGAAAAAUUCUUUUGAACACAAUUCUUUGUCACUUUCUAAUUGAAAACCCUUACAAUUGUUUUUUUAAUUUAUUUUAAAAGGGUAAGUGAGGUGUAAAAAAGGGAUGUGACAUAAACUACACAUCAUUGGUCUGAAGUUCGUAUUUCUAUUGCCAAACUUCACUAUACUAACGGUUAGUGAUAUGAAAUUUAGUCCGGUAUUUGUAUUCAAAAGGGGAGCUUUGACGUAACUGGUAAAGUUGCUGUCAUGUGACCAGGAAGCUAGUCAUGGGUUUGAGCUAUGAAAACAGCCUCUUGAAAAAAUGAUAAGGUUGUAUACAAUAAACCUUAAUGGUCCGACUUUUUUUUGAACUAAUACGUAAAGUGAGCUUAAUACAUCAGGCUACCAUUUUAUUUAUUUAUUUAUUUGUAUCCUGAAAAAGAAGUGAGUCUCUAAUGCUCAUAUCCGGAAGUGGUUAUAUUUGUACUAAUUUUUAAACCAUAGUUUUAACUAUGGGUGUUAAAUGGGUGGGAAGGGUUAGGUCGGGCCUCUAUUUUUUGGACUCAUACGGGUUACGAUCCGGGCCGAUUCUAGGUUGGUUCUUAGCGGGUUCGAGUUCAUCCGAGUAAAAAUUUAACUGCAAGGGUUACAGGUUGAGGGGGCCGGGUCUAGCCAGAUUUAGUGUAUUUUUAAAUGAAUUUUGUUUAACUAUUGUAAGUUAUAGUAAUACAAAGUAUUAACAUUAAGAAUACAAGGAAGAUGGGGAAAAAUUACACUUAUUGCAAGUGCUACAUUUAUUUCAUAAUUCAAAGUUUCAGACUUACAAAUUAAAAUGUUUACAUUUUUAACAACAAAUAAAUUCAAAGGUUUUGCAUUGCCCUUGCAAGUUCUUUAUAAUAAAUAUGAACUGAUUAACCUUCUUCUUGAGUGUUAAAUCCGAAUGGGUUACCAUGUGCUAAUAUAUCUCCAAGUUCUUCGUCUUCUGGGCUAUCAACAUCUUCAUGUCCUUUAUUUCUUCGUUCCGAUCUAAUCAAAUAUCUGAAACAUACUAAAACUUCCAAAGCGUUGCUUCACAAAGAGUGACGAGUGUCUCCAAGUUGUUGUCUUGCUUGGCUAAAUACACUCUCUGAUGCAACAGUAGAAAUUGACACAUUCAGCACGUCCCGAGCCAUGGCAAAAAGAACAGCAAAUUACUUUCCAUUCUCAUGCCACCAUCCUAACGGUGAAAAUUCCUUUGUGCGAGGCUCUUUUUUCUUCUGCAAGUAGAAUUCAAGUUCAUCAAUGUUCCUACUACUGAUAUGAGUGUUAGAAAAUAUAGAAAAAAUAUCAAAACUAUCAAAGCCUUCUUCAUCAUCCAUAAUAGCAGAAGUGGUACAGUGCAGAGUGGGAUUAACAUUGCCUACAACACGAGCAUCAUCAUCAAUUAUAUUUGCAUAAUAAUUAUAAAUUGUUGUAAAAUAAUCAUUUAGCUUGUUCAUAGAAAAAUUUGGAGUUUUAGUUGGUCCAAUCUCUAUAUAAGUAUAUAAAGCAUUCAUUAAUUGGUGACAAUCAGACAUCUUAAGAGAAAGAUUUAAAACAGCACCAAUUAAGUGUUCUAAAUCACUUCCCAAACCCCUAGAAAAUCAGACCAUCCAUCCCCACACGUCAUAAUUAUCAAACCAACUACGAAAAAUCUAAAAUAAGGAAAUGAGGUUCGAGAUCUCAAAACGGAGGUCGGAUCAUUACAAGUAUGAAUUGCAAAAACAUCUUGGUGAUUCACACAAUUAAUUGGUUCUUAGUGGGUAAACAAUUUUUUGUUGUUGCUUUAUAUAUGUAGAUCUUGACUUGUAACUUGUAAAACAUAAAUGGAGAUGCACAAUAAUAAUAAAACGGAAUGGCCAUAGUUAUUAUCAUCAUUAUUAUUGUUGUUACUUUAUGAUUCAUCUUAAUUAUUUCAUUAAGUAUUUGUUAUCUCUCAUCAGCACAAAUAUUAAUAUAAAUGAAUCACCCACCAUACUCAUGAAAGCAGAUUAAAUAUGAGGUAGAUUUUAAUAUAUCAGCUUUAGCAAAAGAUAAACAUCCAAGUUUUCAUAAUAGAGAAAACUCAAGGAAAGAAGAAUAAAAUUGAAAGGAAAAAAAAAAAAGCUUCUCCGUAGAUACAUAUAACAUCAAUUCACAGUUGUAGAAUAUCUUGAAACAGUCAAUAGGUAGUUAAGUAAACAACUAAAAAUUCUCAAAUUCCACUUUUUUAACGUGGCCUUGCAGCUUCUACAUUUCCUUCAGACUCAGCUGCUUUUAACUCCAACCAAAUUUCACGAACCCUUUUUUUUUUUUGUUAAUACAAAUCUCUACGAUUACUCAUAGAAGAUUGUGUUUUCCCCAUAUAAUGAAAGCUAUAAAUCAGGAUAACAUUGAAGCAAUUGGCUCAUACGAUUCUGAUCAUCAUCAGCUAAUGGAAGAUUAGGGAAAGAAUAAGAAGAAGAUGGUGCCUCAAUCAUAUCAAAAAAUUGGCAAUUACUCCCAUAACUAUUCUUGUCUUCUUCAUGAGUAGCCAUACUUGUUGAAAUGGUGGGGCUAUCAAGUUGUGGGAGUUCAACUAGUUGAUUUUCAAAUCCAAUUAUUUGGGUAGAGAUGAGAUCUUGAUGAUGGAGAGAUGGACUAAAAGGGAAUUGAUGAUUUAAGUUUGAUGUUUGGUUGAAUGGAUUAUAAUGCAUUGGACUUGGCAUUUCUGUAGGUGCUCUAUAACUUGUGUUGGUUACUCUGAUACAAUUAUAAGCAGAAGCAUUUUUCCAUGAUUCUAAACUUGGAUUGUUGUUUGGAGUUGGCUUCUUGAAUGCCCUGCAUACUACCCAUCCUUCUUCCUGUCAAUAUUAAAUUCCAGUUUGAUCAGCAAG
This 8943-nucleotide long non-coding RNA is filed under the name Nicotiana benthamiana. RNAcentral describes it as "long non-coding RNA (NBEN_LNC023044)". The record is from RNAcentral. Lineage: Eukaryota; Viridiplantae; Streptophyta; Magnoliopsida; Solanales; Solanaceae.